RNAcentral lists this ribosomal RNA (321 nucleotides) under Triticum aestivum (bread wheat). RNAcentral's name for it is "partial small subunit ribosomal RNA". The record is from RNAcentral. Lineage: Eukaryota; Viridiplantae; Streptophyta; Magnoliopsida; Poales; Poaceae.
AUGUCCUCUGCAUCUAAAUACCACAUAGUUCAACCCUUAAAACCAUACAAAGCAUGCAAAAGAAACAUCUACUUACUAUGUAGAUCAGCUAAACCUACACCAGACUACUCGUUUUCGUUGGAGAUGUCCACCAUCUUAGCUCCGGGCUCCAGGUACAUUGGCGGCAGAGGCAACUCCGGCUCCGCGUCGGCCUCCGCCUCCUCCUUCGCAUCCAGUUCGUCGAAAAGCGCAUCCGUCUCCGCAUCCAGUUCUCGUCCUGCAUCCGGAAGCGGCGCUCCGGCAUUGCCAUUGUAUAUGUGGUCUUGUUCUGCCGGGCCAUGA